UGUUUCAAAAGGUUGUUUCUUUGAUGAGG
RNAcentral lists this non-coding RNA (29 nucleotides) under Mus musculus (house mouse). The record is from RNAcentral. Lineage: Eukaryota; Metazoa; Chordata; Mammalia; Rodentia; Muridae.